AGUGAACGCUGGCGGCGUGCUUAACACAUGCAAGUCGAACGAGGACGGAUUAUAGCUUGCUAUAAUUGUCAGCUAAGUGGCGCACGGGUGAGUAAUGUAUAGGUAAUAUGCCUCUUACUAAGGGAUAACAAUUGGAAACGAUUGCUAAUACCUUAUAUUCCUUUUUAUCAAAAGAUAAAAAGGGAAAGAUUUAUUGGUAAGAGAUUAGCCUGUAUUGUAUCAGUUAGUUGGUGGGGUAAUGGCCUACCAAGACGAUGACGCAUAACUGGUUUGAGAGGGUGAUCAGUCACACUGGAACUGAGACACGGUCCAGACUCCUACGGGAGGCAGCAGUGGGGAAUAUUGCACAAUGGACGAAAGUCUGAUGCAGCAACGCCGCGUGGAGGAUGACACAUUUCGGUGCGUAAACUCCUUUUAUAUAAGAAGAUAAUGACGGUAUUAUAUGAAUAAGCACCGGCUAACUCCGUGCCAGCCGCCGCAGUAA
Molecule: ribosomal RNA, 484 nt
Filed under: uncultured bacterium
Lineage: Bacteria
Description: partial 16S ribosomal RNA
Rfam family: Bacterial small subunit ribosomal RNA
Source: RNAcentral